This 364-nucleotide ribosomal RNA is filed under the name uncultured bacterium. RNAcentral describes it as "bacterial SSU rRNA". It matches the Rfam family "Bacterial small subunit ribosomal RNA", at positions 362 to 754 of the family's 1533-position model. The record is from RNAcentral.
UAUUGGACAAUGGGCGCAAGCCUGAUCCAGCCAUGCCGCGUGAGUGAUGAAGGCCUUCGGGUUGUAAAGCUCUUUAGUCCACGAAUAUAAUGACUGUAGUGGAAGAAUAAGCCCCGGCUAACUUCGUGCCAGCAGCCGCGGUAAUACGAGGGGGGCGAGCGUUGUUCGGAAUCACUGGGCGUAAAGCGUGCGUAGGCGGUUAUAAAAGUUAGGAGUGAAAGCCCUGGGCUCAACCUAGAAAUUGCUCUUAAUACUGUAUAACUCGAUUCGGAGAGGAUAGCGGAAUUGUCAGUGAGCAGUAAAUGCGAGUUUACAGAACACCGGUGGCGAAGCGGUUUCUGGCCGCCUAGCGUGGACAGAUCAU